RNAcentral lists this ribosomal RNA (272 nucleotides) under uncultured prokaryote. RNAcentral describes it as "partial 16S ribosomal RNA". It matches the Rfam family "Bacterial small subunit ribosomal RNA", at positions 524 to 796 of the family's 1533-position model. The record is from RNAcentral.
UACAGAGGGUGCGAGCGUUAAUCGGAAUUACUGGGCGUAAAGCGUGCGUAGACGGUUAUUUAAGUCGGGUGUGAAAGCCCCGGGCUCAACCUGGGAAUUGCAUUCGAGACUGAAUAGCUAGGGUACGGUAGAGGGAAGUGGAAUUUCCGGUGUAGCGGUGAAAUGCGUAGAUAUCGGAAGGAACAUCAGUGGCGAAAGCGACUUCCUGGACCAGUACCGACGUUCAGGCACGAAAGCGUGGGGAGCAAACAGGAUUAGAACCCCAGUAGUCC